UGGGGGAGACGAGGACGAGGUCGGGGACGACGAGGGGACGAGGGGGGAGCGCGCGAUCGGGGAAGGGCCUGGGCUGGGGUCGCGCCGCGCGCCGGGGCGCGUCCGGAUGCUCAGGCCCGGGAGGAGGCGGCUUCCUUCGUCGCAGGUCUUAGGGUCCGGGCGCAGUCGCCGCCUGCGUGGAGCUCAGUAGCGCCUCCUUGGCGGGUCUAAGGACAGGCGGGGUCCUCCCGCGGCUUAGAAAUGCUGUCUGGGCGGUCGUGCGGGGGUAGUGGGAGGCCACAGGCCUAACCGGCCUCGCCCUGGGGGUGGGCGCUCGGGGGCCCACGCCAAGCUAGAUGCGGCAACUACAGGAAGCGUGCCUUUGGGCAUCAGGUCGCCUCUCGGAUCCCCUGUCCCUCCCUCAGCUGGGCUGGCCCUGCUGUCCUCUCGGAAUUAAGCUUGAGGGGGGGGCAGGUACCCACGGGAGAUGUGGGCCCUGAAGAACCCAGCAUAGAAAUAGCCGCCAUGGCCUCUGCUUAUAGGCGAGUCCCGAGGACCAGGCGGGGAGGCAGGUGUGGCAUGCUCACUCUUCAGGGGGACAGACAGGCACGGGGGAUUCAGCAGUAAGGGAUGGAGCCAACAUUUGAACCAGGCAGUCUAGGUCCAGGGGUUCCGCUGUGCAUGCACAUCCGGGCUGAGGACAGAUUUCCCCUAAGAAGGCAUGUCUUGGUCACAGAUGGCAGAGGUGUGGCUCAGAAGCCCGCCAGGGUUCAGCCCUUUGCUGCCCAUUGGAGUACUGUAUGUGUCUCUGCCUGGGCUGUGAGCUGCAGAGAGCAGCUAGGGGUCCCACAGCCCCACAGCCCCUGGCCCAGGUGCUCAUGGCCAGCUUGCAAGGGGAGGCGGGGGGGAUGCUGGAGUGUGAGCUGCCUAGGGAACCACUAGGGCCCAGGGGGCCUGCAGGCAGGGAAGGCUGGCUGGAGGAGGAGGUCUUCCUCUUAGGGCCCUGGGAGAAAGCUGCGGGGAGAGGGCAGACCACUGAGCCUUUCCCUCCUGAGCAGGCCCAAAGAGAGGGAGCUGCUGUUCUGAGCCCUUUGCAGAGACAUCACCCCUGUGCCCCAGAUUCUCUUCAUCACCCCGCCCAGCUCGACCUGGGAGCCUUCCCUGGCCACCCAGCUAAAUGGACGACCAGCCUGCCCUCAGAGCAGGCCCGCCCCUCUCAGCUCCAGGAGGCCAUGACAUGUCCCGGUGUAGAACUGGUGCUGGAAACGGUCUCUGCACGUAGUAAGCAUCGCGAUCUUUGCCUCUGUCUCAGAUUUAUCAAUGAAGAAGCUGUGCUCAGGUUGAGUAAAGUGCCUAAAGGCACAGGGCUCGGAAGUGACAGAGGUCUGACUCCAAGGGCCCAAGCUGCCUGCCUCCCGUCCUUCCUCCCGGCCCAGCCCAGCUUCUCCUUGGCUUCUCCCUACAGACGGGGGGAGGGCGAGUCCACGUCCUCGCCUGUGCCUCGCAUUGGGCAGCCACAGGUACAGGUCUGAUCCUGCCCGCCCUGCUUCACUCCUCCCUGGGAGCCCGGCCCGCUUCAGGCGGGGCGCGCGGAGCCGGGAGCGCGCGGAGCCGGGAGCGCGAGGGCGGGGGGUGGGCUGGGAGUCCGAGCCCCGCCCCCGGCAAGCGUACCUGCUCUCGCCGCCCCGCCCCCUCCCUCGCUCCCUCCCGGGGCGGCUGCUCGAAGGCGCAGAAAUGUGGAUGUGGAACUUCUCUGCGAGCCUUGCGCCAGCGCCACGCGGGGGCUGGUGGCGGCUCUGCUGCGUGGGAAGAAGGAGGAAGGACACGGCCCGCGGGCGGGGUCUGGGGAGCACCGGCCUUCCUGCCCAGGCCUCUUCCCCUGGGCUGGGCCCCUCCUGCCCCUGCUGGCCUGUUCAUUUAGAGACCCUUUCCUGCCAUACAUCAGCUCGCAAAGCCCUGUAGCCUGGGUGGGGGCCCAGAGCGGACUCAGACCGGCCAGGCCCUCAAGGAGCUCUGUGGGGGUGACAGCGCCACCAACUGCAGGACACCCGGGAAGCCCUGGGGCAGGACCACCCCCUUGCCGUCCCUUUUUCACUCAGCGACUCGAAGCGCAUGGGCCAGGCCCGGGGGCUCUCAGUGGCCAUUACUGGCUGGACUGUGUCCCCUUAAGAUUCACAGGUUGAAGCCCUAACCCCCAGGACCUCAGAAUGGGACUGUAUUUGGAGACGGGGCCUUCUAAGAGGUGAUUAAGGUAAAAUGAGGUCAUGUGGGUGGGCCCUAAUCCAGUUCCACUGGUGCCCUUGUAAGAGGAAAUUUGGACAUGCAGUGACAAGGGGCACUCAAAGAGGCAGCGAGAAGUUGGUGAUCCGCAAGCCGAGGAGAGAGGCCUCGGAAAAAACCAAGUCUGCCAGCACCUUGACCUUGGCCUUUCAGCCUCUGUGAACUGGAGCCCCGGGGAAACAAUUUUCUGAUAUUUAAGCCACUCAGUCAGUGGUAUUUUGCAAUCCUAGCAAAGUGACAUAGUGGCCUUCCACGCUGGGGGGCCUGUAGUUCUGUGCUCCGUAAGGAGGGGGCCUGGCCUGUACAAGAUCCCACGCUCCUGCCCAGGGGGAGGAAGAAAUGAAGUGAAGGCCAAGUCUUCAGAACACGUGCUUCGGUCACCCGAGCUGAUGGGGACAGGGUUGGGUGGGCGUCAGGCCCGACGUGAGACUGAGCACAGCACGGGAAGGAAGGAGGCAGCUUUGCCCUCCAGCAGCUGCCGGGCUCUGCUGUGUGCCCGGAGCUGGCUGCGAAGGCCUCUGACAGAGCAUCCAACACAAGCCUUCGAAAGGCUGCGGCGACCCAGCUCUCCUGAUGACCUCCAGGCCACCUCGCUCACCUCCGCCCUGCUGGGUACACCUUUCCUGUGCUGGGCCCUGGCCACGUGCCCUUCCCCCGUGUCUACCUGGGAAACUCCUGCUCAGCUUCUCCGUCACCCCAAUCCCCUCCCUCCAUGUCCCCGGGUCCCUGGCAGCUCGCUCCCUGGGGCUUCCAGCAGGGCUGCCACACAUGGCCUCAGUCCCACCUGCGGUCUGCAGGGCACUGCUGGUGCCUCAACCUGUCCCUGGUCUGCUGUGCGCACAGCCGGCCCCAGCCCUCCACAGGGGCUGGGUGUGCCCUGGCUGCCUGCUUGGCCAGAAAGCGUGGGCUCAGCCCAGCAGCCAGGCCCCCCGACAGGCCCCUGUCCAGUCUGCAGCCUUGGGCUGCGGCCCGAGUCUGGGCAGCUCGUCUAAGCCGGACGUCCUCCCCAGCAGUGGCCAACGCUUGCUGCCCUGCGCUGUGCCUGCCAGGCUCCCUCACACGUGGGCUGCCUGGCCCCUGAUGUCUUGUCUAGGCACAUGGCACUGCCACCCAACACCUACAAGUGUCCCGCUCACUGGGCACCCAUGCCAGAGGCCCAGCGGCCCCUCCCGCACAGAGAGCCCUGGCACCAGCAGCACCUUCUAGCAUCAACCCUUGCAUGGCCUCUGACCUACUUUCCCUCUGUCCUGGGAGCCCCUGGCCUUGUUUAUGGUGACAGCUGCCUCGCGUCUUCCCAGUCAGCCACACGACUUGACAGCAGGACGCUGCGGGUGGGGCGGGAGGGCACCACACACUGGCCAGCAGCAAUGCCGCCCUCUGCCCUCCGCUCUGGAGGAGGAGAUGUCCACCUGCCGCCCGUCGGGGCUGCUGAGCAGAAGCGGGAAGAUCAGCUGUCCCAGGAGUCUUGUCGGAAGCCCUUUGUCUCCCAGUGCGUUUCGUCAGUUACCCAUCUAACAGGCCUGGAUGAAGUCAUGACCACGGCUUCCUGCUAGAGGCGUUUUGCAGAUUAUACGCGAGAUGUCAAGUUCUCUGGACCUGGAUUGUCUGGGAAAGUCCCCUGUCACCUUCAGCAGGGCAAUGGCAGCCUGGCAAGCAAAUGACCCACAUGGGGACAGCAUCCGCUCAGCCCUGUCACCAUAUCAAGCAGGCUCGAACCCCGCUCUAGCAGCAGACUGGCCCCUGAGCCUCAAGUCCCUCGUCUGUGAAACGGGGACAAUCAGCUUUGCCGCCAAAGAAUGCUGUGAACUGGGUCCCACCUGACAGCAGAGAUCAAUCGACACGGGGCAUGGCGGCCCCAAACCCCGUUUCCCGGCUGAGGUCUGCAAAUUGUGAGAUGCCUUCUUCCACUGGGAGUGUAAUCAUGGCCUCAGGGCGCCCCGCACUUCCAGUGUCCCCCAGUUCCUCCAGACCUCGACUCGACGCCCUUUCCCAGCCCUGGGCCAGGCCGGACCCUCCACUAGGAGUACUCGGAGCCAAGGCCCUCGGUAAACCCCGUUUCUGGGCCCACCGGAUCACCUGUGCCCACGCCAGGCGUGACCUCACCGCCGGACACUUGAACGUGCCGCUUCCUCGAAACAUUUCAUCUGCGACCCCUAUAGGCUGGAUCUCCCUUCGCUCCCGUCUCCGCUCGAAUGAGAGCGACUUUCCCACCCGCCCCCUCCCCUAAUCGCUCUCCACCGCUCCCCCUUUUUAUUUGGAAAGCAUU
Long non-coding RNA from Pteropus alecto (black flying fox), 4525 nucleotides. RefSeq lists it as uncharacterized. The transcript has 3 exons. NCBI's taxonomy places the organism in Eukaryota, Metazoa, Chordata, Mammalia, Chiroptera, Pteropodidae. The record is from RefSeq and is a predicted model, not a curated record.